GACGAACGCUGGCGGCGUGCUUAACACAUGCAAGUCGAACGGAAAGGCCCUGCUUUUGUGGGGUGCUCGAGUGGCGAACGGGUGAGUAACACGUGAGUAACCUGCCCUUGACUUUGGGAUAACUUCAGGAAACUGGGGCUAAUACCGGAUAGGAGCUCCUGCUGCAUGGUGGGGGUUGGAAAGUUUCGGCGGUUGGGGAUGGACUCGCGGCUUAUCAGCUUGUUGGUGGGGUAGUGGCUUACCAAGGCUUUGACGGGUAGCCGGCCUGAGAGGGUGACCGGCCACAUUGGGACUGAGAUACGGCCCAGACUCCUACGGGAGGCAGCAGUGGAGAAUAUUGCACAAUGGGCGGAAGCCUGAUGCAGCAACGCCGCGUGCGGGAUGACGGCCUUCGGGUGGUAAACCGCUUUCGCCUGUGACGAAGCGUGAGUGACGGUAAUGGGUAAAGAAGCACCGGCUAACUACGU
Molecule: ribosomal RNA, 467 nt
Filed under: uncultured bacterium
Lineage: Bacteria
Description: partial 16S ribosomal RNA
Rfam family: Bacterial small subunit ribosomal RNA
Source: RNAcentral